This 395-nucleotide ribosomal RNA is filed under the name Turdus iliacus iliacus. RNAcentral's name for it is "partial 12S ribosomal RNA". It matches the Rfam family "Bacterial small subunit ribosomal RNA", at positions 794 to 1384 of the family's 1533-position model. The record is from RNAcentral. Lineage: Eukaryota; Metazoa; Chordata; Aves; Passeriformes; Turdidae.
GCCUGGCCCUAAAUCUUGAUGCUCGAUAUUACCUGAGCAUCCGCCCGAGAACUACGAGCACAAACGCUUAAAACUCUAAGGACUUGGCGGUGCUCCAAACCCACCUAGAGGAGCCUGUUCUGUAAUCGAUGAUCCACGAUAUUACCUGACCAUUCCUUGCACGAAACAGCCUAUAUACCGCCGUCGCCAGCCCACCUUUCCUGACAGCCCAACAGUGGACGCAAUAGCCUAACCCGCUAGCAAGACAGGUCAAGGUAUAGCCCACGGAAUGGAAGCAAUGGGCUACAUUUUCUAGACUAGAACACACGGAUAAGGGUAUGAAACUGCCCUUGGAAGGCGGAUUUAGCAGUAAAGAGAGACAAUGGAGCCCUCUUUAAGCCGGCUCUGGAGCACGU